GUGCCUAACACAUGCAAGUCGAACGAGAAAGUGGAGCAAUCCAUGAGUAAAGUGGCGACCGGGUGAGUAACACGUGACUAACCUACCUUCGAGUGGGGGAUAACCUCGGGAAACCGGGGCUAAUACCGCAUAACAUCUUUGAAGUGGAAAUUUCGGAGAUCAAAGGAGCAAUUCGCUGGAAGAGGGGGUCGCGGCUGAUUAGCUAGUUGGCGGGGUAACGGCCCACCAAGGCAAAGAUCGGUAGCCGGCCUGAGAGGGCGCACGGCCACACUGGAACUGAAACACGGUCCAG
This 292-nucleotide ribosomal RNA is filed under the name uncultured bacterium. RNAcentral's name for it is "partial 16S ribosomal RNA". It matches the Rfam family "Bacterial small subunit ribosomal RNA", at positions 44 to 334 of the family's 1533-position model. The record is from RNAcentral.